RNAcentral lists this ribosomal RNA (424 nucleotides) under uncultured prokaryote. Its description in RNAcentral is "bacterial SSU rRNA". It matches the Rfam family "Bacterial small subunit ribosomal RNA", at positions 355 to 796 of the family's 1533-position model. The record is from RNAcentral.
UGGGGAAUCUUGGACAAUGGGGGCAACCCUGAUCCAGCGACGCCGCGUGGGUGAUGAAGGCCUUAGGGUUGUAAAGCCCUUUCGCCGGGGACGAUGAUGACGGUACCCGGAGAAGAAGCACCGCCUAACUCCGUGCCAGCAGCCGCGGUAAGACGGAGGGUGCUAGCGUUGUUCGGAAUCACUGGGCGUAAAGCGUCCGCAGGUGGUGCCUCAAGUCUGCUGUCAAAGACCGAAGCUCAACUUCGGGCAGGCAGUGGAAACUGAAGCACUAGAGUACGGUAGGGGUAGAGGGAAUUUCCAGUGUAGCGGUGAAAUGCGUAGAGAUUGGAAAGAACACCAGUGGCGAAGGCGCUCUUCUGGACCGUAACUGACACUCAGGGACGAAAGCUAGGGGAGCGAAAGGGAUUAGAUACCCCCGUAGUCC